AAUCAACGCUGGCGGCGUGCCUAACACAUGCAAGUCGAACGCGACUGGGGCUUCGGCCUCAGUUGAGUGGCGAACGGGUGAGUAACACGUGGGUGACCUACCUUCGAAUGGGGGAUAACGUCCCGAAAGGGACGCUAAUACCGCAUAACAUCCUGCCUUUGAACAGGCGGAGAUCAAAGCCGGGGAUCGCAAGACCUGGCGUUUGAAGAGGGGCCCGCGUCCGAUUAGCUAGUUGGGAGGU
RNAcentral lists this ribosomal RNA (241 nucleotides) under uncultured bacterium. Its description in RNAcentral is "partial 16S ribosomal RNA". It matches the Rfam family "Bacterial small subunit ribosomal RNA", at positions 32 to 257 of the family's 1533-position model. The record is from RNAcentral.